UUAACAAAUUUGUAGCGACUCAGACAACACAAAAUUAUUGAGUUUGAAACCCUCUGGCAGGCACAGACCAGCCGAAGCCAGUGGUCAAAGGACCGGCCUGCCAAAGCAACAAAGGUAUGGUAAACAAAGGGUGGGAGAUCUACCCCGGAGGGCAAGUUCUCAGUAAUGAUCCUUCCGCAGGUUCACCUACGGAAA
Molecule: unclassified non-coding RNA, 195 nt
Filed under: uncultured fungus
Lineage: Eukaryota; Fungi
Description: sequence contains ITS1
Source: RNAcentral